RNAcentral lists this ribosomal RNA (446 nucleotides) under uncultured bacterium. Its description in RNAcentral is "bacterial SSU rRNA". It matches the Rfam family "Bacterial small subunit ribosomal RNA", at positions 330 to 793 of the family's 1533-position model. The record is from RNAcentral.
GCCAGACUCCUACGGGAGGCAGCAGUGGGGAAUAUUGCACAAUGGGGGAAACCCUGAUGCAGCGACGCCGCGUGAGUGAAGAAGUAUUUCGGUAUGUAAAGCUCUCUCAGCAGGGAAGAAAAUGACGGUACCUGAUUAAGAAGCCCCGGCUAACUACGUGCCAGCAGCCGCGGUAAUACGUAGGGGGCAAGCGUUAUCCGGAUUUACUGGGUGUAAAGGGAGCGUAGACGGUGAUGCAAGUCAGAAGUGAAAGCCCGGGGCUCAACUCCGGGACUGCUUUUGAAACUGUGUAACUGGAGUGCAGGAGAGGUAAGCGGAAUUCCUGGUGUAGCGGUGAAAUGCGUAGAUAUCAGGAGGAACACCAGUGGCGAAGGCGGCUUACUGGACUGUAACUGACGUUGAGGCUCGAAAGCGUGGGGAGCAAACAGGAUUAGAUACCCCGGUAG